RNAcentral lists this long non-coding RNA (2135 nucleotides) under Heterocephalus glaber (naked mole-rat). Its description in RNAcentral is "lncRNA (ENSHGLG00000036910.1)". The record is from RNAcentral. Lineage: Eukaryota; Metazoa; Chordata; Mammalia; Rodentia; Bathyergidae.
UUUUUUUUUUAAAGAGAAGAGAGAGGGUUGAACCGAUUCCCGAACGUGGAUCCUUUUAGAGAACAUUCAAAGGAUCAUCCCCUUCCUGGGGCGCUUUCUCUACCUUGGCAAUCAAAGCUAAACUCCCAUUGCUAGCCCCACGGCCAGCCUGCAGCCUGGGGCGAGGGCAAGCCUCCCACUUCAGCGCCCCAAGCCCGGCCAGAGGAGACGCUGUCCCCAGAGGCCAGAAGCCGCUGGCACUGACCACGCGGAGGGCCAGGGGGACGGAGGGGCAGGCUUCUCACUCCGCACCCCAAACCCUCAAUCGGACUCUGGCUCCGGAGAGUUGGCUCCUUAUGGCUGGUGACUGUUUUGCCGCUGCUGAAGAAUCCAGACCAAGUCUUGGGCCCAGGAAUCCAUUGCUCAACUUCAUUAGCAACAGGAAGACAUUAAGUGAAAGUAAAGACUGGAACAGCCCAGAACCAUGUGACAGGCAGCCUUUAAGUCCUGGGCUCUGGUAUAUUUUAUGCCACCUCAACUGUGCAUCAAGCUCCACUUCCUGGACUCAUUAGAACUGUGUGCCCAAAGGGCCAGGGUUGAGCCCAGGGCUCUGUGCAUGCUGGGUAGGCAUGCCAACUCCUGAGCUGAUUCGUGGGUCACCUAGAAAAGAAAUCCAAUAAUAAUAACAACAUUAAUUGCAGCUGUCACAUAUUGAACACAGACAAAGUGCCAGACACUGUGCUAAAUGCCUGACAUGCAAAAUCUAUUGACUCCAAUCCAUAUAACAACCUUAUAAAGCAAGGUAUUAUUACUUGCAUUUGCUAUGUAAAGAAGCUCAGAUUGGAGGGUUUGUCAGUGGUUUUCAAACUUGAGUGCACAAGAAGCUGAGUACUCUCCCAGAAUUUCUGACUCAGUAGGUCUGGGCUGGGGCCCCAGGAUUUCCAUUUUCACAAGUCCCCAGGUGCUGCUACUGCUGACCUGAGGGCCACGUGGGAGAAACAUCAAUUCAAGUUGGCACAAUGAGUAAGUGAGAGAAUGAGUUUCCAAAAUUAAAAAUCUGACUUGGAAAUAUACUCUUAGAAAUCUAUAUUCCUUCAAAUUUUCUAACAUUAAACUUUUGAAUUAAUAGCUGGUUGCUGCAUUCACAAAGCACAGUAGCUUGGAUGGCUGCUUAUUUGUAUUAAAUGUUCUUUUCCAUGAAGUUCUUCAUGGCACAAAACAGUUGGUGAUACCUUCAAAGGGGAGGAUUUCAGGGACAUUUGCAGAAGGAGCAUAAAGUGCUUAAGUCACCUCUACUUGGCCAUGCUUGAGAUCAGCAGCCCUGAUGGCGUAAAGGAUUUGCUAGGGCUGUGACCCACUUCCAGCUGCAAGAUUCAUCAGAGCUUCCAAGAUGGAGCCCAGCUGAGCAAGCCACACCUGGCUACCAUCUGUGCCUGAGAGGCAUGGUGUUACCUGGGUUCCCAACCAGGAAGAGCUCUCAACAAGUACCCAACUUGGGCAUCAGAGGGCUCUGGAUCCAUUGAAUAUUGCUCAGGUGACAGAGCCUAGGUCUUCAUUGCUCAAGGCACAGCAAGAGUAUUCUGUCACAAAGAGUCAAAUGCUUUCCUGAUUGCUACAGUCAGAUCCAGGAGAGGUCCCUGAGCAGCUUGUGAUCUGAAGUUCUGUAGUGAACUGAUAAUUACGAACAUCACCAGCGUCCAUCCUGAAAAGAAAGCACUGGAGCUUAUAUCAGGGGACCUAAUCAUUCAAAGAAACUACAGAAUGGAAGAGCCUGGAAUUGGCAGUGGGAUCCACUGAGGCUGAAAGAAGCACUAAUACUGUGCAAGACAGAAUAUGAAAAAUAAAGAAAAAGACUGACCUUUGAUGACACUAGUUCCAGGUGUACCUGAUGCCAGUUCUGCCCUUCACCUUUUCAGGGAUACAAGACCAUACAUUCUGUUAUUCUUCAAGCAGUUUGAGUUGAUUUCUAUCAUUUUCAAUGGCAAGAUGUGGAACCCAUCCUUUAGUUUUGUCAAACCGAGGAUUAUAUAUCAAAUAUAUUAAUGUCCUUUCAAUUAGUUAUGCGAGGAAAAUGGGAUGUAUGCAAUGGGAUGUAUGCUAUGGGUUUUGCUUUACUGUUUGGUUUACUGUAUCAUUUUCAGUUGGAAUAAAAGGCA